GAUGAACGCUGGCGGCGUGCCUAAUACAUGCAAGUCGAGCGAACAGAUGAGGAGCUUGCUCCUCUGACGUUAGCGGCGGACGGGUGAGUAACACGUGGAUAACCUACCUAUAAGACUGGGAUAACUUCGGGAAACCGGAGCUAAUACCGGAUAAUAUAUUGAACCGCAUGGUUCAAUAGUGAAAGACGGUUUUGCUGUCCCUUAUAGAUGGAUCCGCGCCGCAUUAGCUAGUUGGUAAGGUAACGGCUUACCAAGGCGACGAUGCGUAGCUGACCUGAGAGGGUGAUCGGCCACACUGGAACUGAGACACGGUCCAGACUCCUACGGGAGGCAGCAGUAGGGAAUCUUCCGCAAUGGGCGAAAGCCUGACGGAGCAACGCCGCGUGAGUGAUGAAGGUCUUCGGAUCGUAAAACUCUGUUAUUAGGGAAGAACAAAUGUGUAAGUAACUAUGCACGUCUUGACGGUACCUAAUCAGAAAGCCACGGCUAACUACGUG
This 497-nucleotide ribosomal RNA is filed under the name uncultured bacterium. RNAcentral's name for it is "partial 16S ribosomal RNA". It matches the Rfam family "Bacterial small subunit ribosomal RNA", at positions 28 to 507 of the family's 1533-position model. The record is from RNAcentral.